This 24-nucleotide small nuclear RNA is filed under the name Arabidopsis thaliana (thale cress). RNAcentral's name for it is "snRNA_15266". The record is from RNAcentral. Lineage: Eukaryota; Viridiplantae; Streptophyta; Magnoliopsida; Brassicales; Brassicaceae.
AUUUACUGUUCUUGAAACUAUAUU